RNAcentral lists this ribosomal RNA (502 nucleotides) under uncultured bacterium. RNAcentral's name for it is "partial 16S ribosomal RNA". It matches the Rfam family "Bacterial small subunit ribosomal RNA", at positions 28 to 507 of the family's 1533-position model. The record is from RNAcentral.
GACGAACGCUGGCGGCGUGCUUAACACAUGCAAGUCGAACGGUGAAGGGGUCUGCUUUUGUGGGCCCUGGAUGAGUGGCGAACGGGUGAGUAACACGUGAGUAACCUGCCCCCUUCUUCUGGAUAACCGCAUGAAAGUGUGGCUAAUACGGGAUAUUCUGGGUCUGUCGCAUGAUGGGUCUGGGAAAGAUUGCGCCUUUGGGUGUAUAUGGUGGGGGAUGGGCUCGCGGCCUAUGAGCUGGAUGGUGGUGUGAUGGCCUACCAAGGCGGUGACGGGUAGCCGGGCGGGGAGGGUGGACGGUCACGCUGGGACUGAGACACGGCCCAGACUCCGACGGGAGGCAGCAGUGAGGAAUAUUGCACGAGGGGCGCAAGCCUGAUGCAGCGACGCCGCGUGAGGGAUGGAGGCCUUCGGGUAAUACACCUCUUUCGGCAGUGAAGCAGGCCUGCUCCUUGUGGGUGGGUUGACGGUAGCUGGAUAAGAAGCGCCGGCUAACUACGUG